CGCCCUUGAGUUUGAUCAUGGCUCAGAACGAACGCUGGCGGCAGGCCUAACACAUGCAAGUCGAACGCCCUAGCAAUAGGGAGUGGCAGACGGGUGAGUAACACGUGGGAACCUUCCCAAUAGUACGGAAUAGCCCAGGGAAACUUGGAGUAAUACCGUAUACGCCCGAGAGGGGAAAGAUUUAUCGCUAUUGGAUGGGCCCGCGUUGGAUUAGCUAGUUGGUGAGGUAAUGGCUCACCAAGGCGACGAUCCAUAGCUGGUCUGAGAGGACGACCAGCCACACUGGGACUGAGACACGGCCCAGACUCCUACGGGAGGCAGCAGUGGGGAAUAUUGGACAAUGGGCGCAAGCCUGAUCCAGCCAUGGCCGCGUGAGUGAUGAAGGCCUUAGGGUUGUUUUUUUCUUUUGCCGGGGACGAUAAUGACGGUACCCGGAGAAUAAGUCCCGGCUAACUUCGUGCCAGCAGCCGCGGUAA
RNAcentral lists this ribosomal RNA (476 nucleotides) under uncultured Alphaproteobacteria bacterium. Its description in RNAcentral is "bacterial SSU rRNA". It matches the Rfam family "Bacterial small subunit ribosomal RNA", at positions 1 to 523 of the family's 1533-position model. Lineage: Bacteria; Pseudomonadati; Pseudomonadota; Alphaproteobacteria. The record is from RNAcentral.